GUCUAUCAGAGACUAUGUGAUGUAUAUAAAACUUCAAUUCAAAGUUUGGAUUUAAGCCGAUCUAGGGUCUUUUGUCAAUAUUGUUGCGGUUGCUGAUAAAAAUCUAGAUUUGCAUAAAGAAUUUGUAUUUUAGAGGCUUACAUGGUUAUGAUGAAGGAUCUUUGAUAAAUGCUAAAGAUCUCGAUGAAGAAAACGUUAGGAGGGAUGGUUGAGUUGGUUUUACUCAUUUGUAUUGAUUUAACGCCUUCUAAUUUGGACGAGCAUUGAGAGAAUUCUUCUGGUUGAUUUUACGUGGAGUUUGACUUAGAAUCCUCUAGUUGAACUGAUAAGAGAAUUAAGAUUCAAUUAAUUUUGACCCGAGGGUGAAUCUAGACGGAUGGCUGGAGGUAAAGUAGGGGACGAGAAUCAAAGAUUUCUUUUUAGGCUUUACGUGGAAAUUGAAAUUUUGGAUCUCUUUAGUUCAUAAUACAAAAUAGUAUUUUGAUCAAAAAAUUAUUAGUGAAUCCAAAGAAUUUUGGUAGUUUGAAUCAGAGUGCGCAACGAAAGCGUAGUGG
This 554-nucleotide long non-coding RNA is filed under the name Phoenix dactylifera (date palm). Its description in RNAcentral is "long non-coding RNA (PDAC_LNC021868)". Lineage: Eukaryota; Viridiplantae; Streptophyta; Magnoliopsida; Arecales; Arecaceae. The record is from RNAcentral.